GAUGAACGCUGGCGGCGUGCCUAAUACAUGCAAGUCGAGCGAACGGACGAGAAGCUUGCUUCUCUGAUGUUAGCGGCGGACGGGUGAGUAACACGUGGAUAACCUACCUAUAAGACUGGGAUAACUUCGGGAAACCGUAGCUAAUACCGGAUAAUAUUUUGAACCGCAUGGUUCAAAAGUGAAAGACGGUCUUGCUGUCACUUAUAGAUGGAUCCGCGCUGCAUUAGCUAGUUGGUAAGGUAGCGGCUUACCAAGGCAACGAUGCAUAGCCGACCUGAGAGGGUGAUCGGCCACACUGGAACUGAGACACGGUCCAGACUCCUACGGGAGGCAGCAGUAGGGAAUCUUCCGCAAUGGGCGAAAGCCUGACGGAGCAACGCCGCGUGAGUGAUGAAGGUCUUCGGAUCGUAAAACUCUGUUAUUAGGGAAGAACAUAUGUGUAAGUAACUGUGCACAUCUUGACGGUACCUAAUCAGAAAGCCACGGCUAACUACGUG
This 497-nucleotide ribosomal RNA is filed under the name uncultured bacterium. RNAcentral's name for it is "partial 16S ribosomal RNA". It matches the Rfam family "Bacterial small subunit ribosomal RNA", at positions 28 to 507 of the family's 1533-position model. The record is from RNAcentral.